UACGUAGGGUGCAAGCAUUAAUCGGAUUUAUUGGGCGUAAAGGGGGCGCAGGCGGAGAAGUAAGUCGGACGUGAAAUCCCGGGGCUCAACCCCGGACACGCGUUCGAAACUACUUUCCUAGAGGGAUAGCGGAGAAAACGGAAUUCCACAUGUAGCGGUGAAAUGCGUAGAUAUGUGGAAGAACACCGGUGGCGAAGGCGGUUUUCUAGCUAUUUCCUGACGCUGAGGCCCGAAAGCUAGGGGAGCAAACAGG
RNAcentral lists this ribosomal RNA (253 nucleotides) under uncultured bacterium. RNAcentral's name for it is "partial 16S ribosomal RNA". It matches the Rfam family "Bacterial small subunit ribosomal RNA", at positions 524 to 776 of the family's 1533-position model. The record is from RNAcentral.